This 408-nucleotide unclassified non-coding RNA is filed under the name Hevea brasiliensis (rubber tree). Lineage: Eukaryota; Viridiplantae; Streptophyta; Magnoliopsida; Malpighiales; Euphorbiaceae. The record is from RNAcentral.
AACCAUUUAAAGCUUUUAGGUGGAAACUGUGAUUGGUACAAUAAGGGAAGUAGAAUCAUUAUAACAUAGGCAAACGCUUAUAAAUGUUUGCCUUGAGGAGCAUAUAUAUGAGGUUAAAAGAAUAACUGAUCAUGAAGCUCUCCGUCUCUUUAGCUUAUACGCAUUCAAACAAGAUCUUCGCAGUGAAGGAUAUGUGAAGCUAUCAUUAGAGGCAGUAAGAUAAUCUCAAGGCAAUCCGUUGGCCCUUAGAGUUUUAGGCUCUAAUAUGCAUGGUAAAGGCAUAGAAGAAUGGAAAAGCGAGCUAGAAAAAUUAAAAGAAAUUCCUGAUAUCAACAUUCAAAAAGUUUUGAGAAUAAGUUAUGAUAAACGAGAACGUCAUGAAAGAAAUAUAUUUCUUGAUAUUGCAUG